AAGUAAAAAGAACAAACUAAAAAAUAAAAAACAAAAUGGAUAUCUCUAGAAGGAGACCAAAACAUGAACUGAUAGAAGAUAAUUUUCCAAAUUUGGAAGGUGAGUUCCAUAUUCCGAGUGUGGAUGGACAAAGUUAUUAUAGGGCUUCUAUAGGCUUCUAUGUGGAUUUUAACAAGUGUGAUGUCUGUACUUUUCUCAUCUUUGUAUGUUUGAGCAUUAAAGUGAGAGUUGAUGAUGAUAAAUUUGAGUAUGUUACAUAAAAAGUUUUGUAGAUGGGUGUAGAAGGUGUUUAUGGGAAGAAAUUGUAUCUGCAAGUUUAUUGAUAGCAAAGUUCAGUUAUUAUAGUGAGCUA
Long non-coding RNA from Solanum tuberosum (potato), 352 nucleotides. RefSeq lists it as uncharacterized. Lineage: Eukaryota; Viridiplantae; Streptophyta; Magnoliopsida; Solanales; Solanaceae. The record is from RefSeq and is a predicted model, not a curated record. The transcript has 3 exons.